UCGGGCGCGCGGCGCGAACUGUGCAUGCGCGAAAGCGCGACACGGGGAGCCUGAGUGCCUUGACUUUUUGUCAAGGCUUUUCUGAUGUCUAAAAAGCAUCAGGAAUAAGGGCUGGGCAAGACGGGUGCCAGCCGCCGCGGUAACACCCGCAGCUCGAGUGGUGAUCACUUUUAUUGAGUCUAAAGCGUCCGUAACCGGUCUUAUAAAUCUUCAGAUAAAUUCUUCCGCUUAACGGAAGAACUUCUGAAGAGACUGUAAGACUUGGGACCGGGUGAGGUUGAAUGUACUUUCAGGGUAGGGGUAAAAUCCUGUAAUCCUGAAAGGACGACCGGUGGCGAAAGCGUUCAACUAGAACGGAUCCGACGGUGAGGGACGAAGGCUAGGGGAGCAAACCGGAUUAGAUACCCGGGUAGUCCUAGCUGUAAACGCUGCCCACUUGGUGUUGCUUCUCCGUUGAGGGGGGGCAGUGCCGUAUCGAAGGUGUUAAGUGGGUCACUUGGGGAGUACGGCCGCAAGGCUGAAACUUAAAGGAAUUGGCGGGGGAGCACCGCAACGGGAGGAGCGUGCGGUUUAAUUGGAUUCAACGCCGGAAAAACUCACCGGGAGCGACCUUCGGAUGAGGGUCAACCUGACGAAUUUACCCCGAUAUAAGGAGAGGUGGUGCAUGGCCCUCCUCAGCUCGUCCCGUAGAGCUUGAACUGUUGUCUAAAAUUCAAUCGUCAAC
RNAcentral lists this ribosomal RNA (724 nucleotides) under Thermoplasma sp. B2_KD3. RNAcentral's name for it is "bacterial SSU rRNA". It matches the Rfam family "Archaeal small subunit ribosomal RNA", at positions 326 to 1077 of the family's 1478-position model. The record is from RNAcentral. Lineage: Archaea; Methanobacteriati; Thermoplasmatota; Thermoplasmata; Thermoplasmatales; Thermoplasmataceae.